Molecule: ribosomal RNA, 468 nt
Filed under: uncultured bacterium
Lineage: Bacteria
Description: partial 16S ribosomal RNA
Rfam family: Bacterial small subunit ribosomal RNA
Source: RNAcentral
GACGAACGCUGGCGGCGUGCUUAACACAUGCAAGUCGAACGGAAAGGCCCUGCUUUUGUGGGGUGCUCGAGUGGCGAACGGGUGAGUAACACGUGAGUAACCUGCCCUUGACUUUGGGAUAACUUCAGGAAACUGGGGCUAAUACCGGAUAGGAGCUCCUGCUGCAUGGUGGGGGUUGGAAAGUUUCGGCGGUUGGGGAUGGACUCGCGGCUUAUCAGCUUGUUGGUGGGGUAGUGGCUUACCAAGGCUUUGACGGGUAGCCGGCCUGAGAGGGUGACCGGCGACAUUGGGACUGAGAUACGGCCCAGACGCCUACGGGAGGCAGCAGUGGGGAGUAUUGCACAAUGGGCGGAAGCCUGAUGCAGCAGCGCCGCGUUCGGGAUGACGGCCUUCGGGUUGUAAACCGCUGUCGCCUGUGACGAAGCGUGAGUGACGGUAAUGGGUAAAGAGGCACCGGCUAACUACGUG